GUCUGUGUGUAGUUACAUGGGGUCUGACCUGCCCGUUGAAAAAAAUUGAAAGGCCGCGGUAUAUUAACUGUGCAAAGGUAGCAUAAUCAUUAGUUUUUUAAUUGGAAACUUGUAUGAAGGGUUGGACAAAGAAAAGACUGUCUUUAUUUUUAGUUUUGAAUUUUACUUUUAAGUGAAAAGGCUUAAAUAUUUUUAAGGGACGAUAAGACCCUAUAAAUCUUUAUACUAGGCUAGUUUAUUAUAGAAUAAUUUAUGUUUAGAAAAAAUUAAAUUUGGCGGGUAUUUUGUUGGGGUGACGAGAAUAUAUAAUAAACUGUUCUUAAGAAAAACAAAUAUGUUUGGAUAAUUAAUAGAUCCUUUUUAGAGAUUAAAAGUUUAAGUUACUUUAGGGAUAACAGCGUUAUUUUUUUUGAGAGUUCUUAUCGAAAAAAAAGUUUGCGACCUCGAUGUUGAAUUAAAAUUUUCUUUAUGGUGAAGGGGCUGGAAAAGAGAGAGUCUGUUCGACUUUU
This 509-nucleotide ribosomal RNA is filed under the name Anoplonida inermis. Its description in RNAcentral is "partial large subunit ribosomal RNA". It matches the Rfam family "Bacterial large subunit ribosomal RNA", at positions 1831 to 2589 of the family's 2925-position model. Lineage: Eukaryota; Metazoa; Arthropoda; Malacostraca; Decapoda; Munididae. The record is from RNAcentral.